AAGAGGAAAGGUUAAGGCAAAUAAAGGUAUCCUGGUAUAAGCAAACUUUAGCCUUUUGUUUUGUUGUUUUGGCUUUUAAUAUUGUAUAAGGUUCGCUAAGUUAUUUUUGUUGGUCAAGAGAU
This is a long non-coding RNA of Hibiscus syriacus, 122 nucleotides long. RefSeq lists it as uncharacterized. The transcript is spliced from 3 exons. The record is from RefSeq and is a predicted model, not a curated record. NCBI's taxonomy places the organism in Eukaryota, Viridiplantae, Streptophyta, Magnoliopsida, Malvales, Malvaceae.